GAGUGUUUCGUUUUAGAUUUUCUGUUAAAAAUGAAUUCUAAAAAACACACGUUUUUGACAUUGAAGCCAAAAGCUGAUAUUCUCGAUUCUUUAAAAAGAGGCUCAUCUAUGACGUUCUUAGCAAAGAAAUAUAAUGUUGCUAAAUCAACAAUUUGUGGAAUCAAAGCAAGAAAACAAAUGAUUUUAAAGUUCGUGAACAACACGUACUCGGGACCUGGACAAAGAAGAACUCUGCGUCCUUCAGAGCUGCAUAAAAUGGAGGAAGCUCUUUAUCGUUGGUUUAUCAAAAUGCGGAAUAAAAACUGGCCAGUAAGUGCCUUAAUGCUGAAAGAAAAGGCCAAAGUACUGCAUGCACAAGUAAAGGAAAAUGAAUCUAACUUCAACGCUAGUGAUGGAUGGCUUCAAGGAUUUAAAAAAAGGUACGGUAUUCGACUGCUGCAAAUAUCAGGCGAAAAACUAUCCUCGCUGCCUCAGCUCGUGGAUCCAUAUAAGGAAAAACUUAGAGCUAAAAUGGCCGAACUGGAGCUGUGUAACGACCAGUUAUAUAAUGCUGAUGAGUCAGACUUAUUCUGGAAACUUCUGCCAGAAAAAAUGUACGUGUCCAGUAUGGAAAAGAGAGCCCCAGGCGUUAAGUCGGAAAAACUUUUAUGUUGCUCAAACGCCACUGGAUCUCAUAAACUGAAACUUUUGGUAAUUGGAAAGGCAAAGAAUCCACGCUGCUUUAAAAACUUUCAAUGCCCCACAGACUAUAAGAGCUCAAAAUCCGCCUGGAUGACGUCGGCUGUUUUCAAGGAAUGGUUUCAUGCGUCCUUCGUUCACAAGGUAACGUCAUUUUUAAAGGAGAAAGGUUUGCCAAUCAAAGCUCUACGCCUAAUCGACAACGCUCCUUCUCACCCAAAUGAAGCUCAGCUGGCAACGGAGGAUGGACAAAUUCUGGCAAUGUUUAUGCCACCAAACGUUACUCCCCUCAUCCAACCAAUGGAUCAAAAUGCCAUAAAGAUCACAAAGUUGCAUUACAGAGACAGCCUUUUAGCCUCAUUAGCAGCUACAAACUCCAAUUUACUCGAUUCGAUUAAAAAAAAUUACUUUACGAAGAGCUAUAAAUCUUUUGGAUGCCGCUUGGAGUCGUGUCAGCGAAGUAACAUUAGCUAAUUGCUGGAAAAUUUUUUUAAAUUUUACGGCAGAUGAUGACGAUCCCGAAGAUAGUUGCUGAAUUAACGCUACCAGACGUUCAUGAAUGGAACGAAGAUAUUGAAGAUGAUAAUGCAAAUGAAGAGCAUGAAAAAGAACACGAUUCCGAUGAAGGCAGCGUAUCGGAGGUAGAGGAGAAAAUUAAGCGGACUGAAGCAGUUGAAAUUUUCAAGAAGGCGAUAAGGUGGGCUGGUCAUGAAGACGUCGAUCCAAAUGAUGUAAAUGUAUUAAGACGUCUAAGAGAGAAAGCUGUGCUCCAACUUUUAGAAACACAGAAGAUACAGAAAAGGAUGACUGAUUUUUUCAAAUAAAACCUAGAUUUUGUAUAAUAUGUGUUAUGUAAAAAUGUAUAUGUAAUG
Molecule: unclassified non-coding RNA, 1550 nt
Filed under: Bactrocera tryoni
Lineage: Eukaryota; Metazoa; Arthropoda; Insecta; Diptera; Tephritidae
Description: jerky protein homolog-like, transcript variant X2
Source: RNAcentral